Long non-coding RNA from Corvus hawaiiensis (hawaiian crow), 383 nucleotides. RefSeq lists it as uncharacterized. The record is from RefSeq and is a predicted model, not a curated record. NCBI's taxonomy places the organism in Eukaryota, Metazoa, Chordata, Aves, Passeriformes, Corvidae. The transcript is spliced from 3 exons.
UACUGAAUUCCCCAGUGACUUUCCAUUGCAUUAACCUGAAAGCCAGACGUAGUGACAUCAUCACCUGGAACUACCUGUUGAUGCAGAAAACGUGCUUCUGUUCUGUUCACAUUUUGAUAUAUAACCAAUGUAUUUCUUUGUGGUAACUCUACCUUGCUACAGAGAAGGCUGCUCAUGGUGAAAUCCUUCCCUGCUGGUAAGGAAAAAGACGUCCCCCAAAUAACAGUGAUGGCAAAGCUAUCAUGCUGUAAAACACCUUUUUCCCAGAGAAGCAAGACAGCUGCAAAACGUACAAUUAUGCAAGAUCUAAUGCAUAAGAUCCUAUACAUGGAAUUGCACAAAAAUCACACAGAACUAAAGGAAGACAAACCACUGGAAGGGGG